AUUGAACGCUGGCGGCAGGCCUAACACAUGCAAGUCGAGCGGAUGAAGGGAGCUUGCUCCUGGAUUCAGCGGCGGACGGGUGAGUAAUGCCUAGGAAUCUGCCUGGUAGUGGGGGAUAACGUCCGGAAACGGGCGCUAAUACCGCAUACGUCCUGAGGGAGAAAGUGGGGGAUCUUCGGACCUCACGCUAUCAGAUGAGCCUAGGUCGGAUUAGCUAGUUGGUGGGGUAAAGGCCUACCAAGGCGACGAUCCGUAACUGGUCUGAGAGGAUGAUCAGUCACACUGGAACUGAGACACGGUCCCGACUCCUACGGGAGGCAGCAGUGGGGAAUAUUGGACAAUGGGCGAAAGCCUGAUCCAGCCAUGCCGCGUGUGUGAAGAAGGUCUUCGGAUUGUAAAGCACUUUAAGUUGGGAGGAAGGGCAGUAAGUUAAUACCUUGCUGUUUUGACGUUACCAACAGAAUAAGCACCGGCUAACUUCGU
This 483-nucleotide ribosomal RNA is filed under the name uncultured bacterium. RNAcentral's name for it is "partial 16S ribosomal RNA". It matches the Rfam family "Bacterial small subunit ribosomal RNA", at positions 30 to 506 of the family's 1533-position model. The record is from RNAcentral.